Molecule: transfer RNA, 85 nt
Filed under: Felis catus (domestic cat)
Lineage: Eukaryota; Metazoa; Chordata; Mammalia; Carnivora; Felidae
Rfam family: tRNA
About the family: Transfer RNA (tRNA) molecules are approximately 80 nucleotides in length. Their secondary structure includes four short double-helical elements and three loops (D, anti-codon, and T loops). Further hydrogen bonds mediate the characteristic L-shaped molecular structure. tRNAs have two regions of fundamental functional importance: the anti-codon, which is responsible for specific mRNA codon recognition, and the 3' end, to which the tRNAs corresponding amino acid is attached (by aminoacyl-tRNA synthetases). tRNAs cope with the degeneracy of the genetic code in two manners: having more than one tRNA (with a specific anti-codon) for a particular amino acid; and 'wobble' base-pairing, i.e. permitting non-standard base-pairing at the 3rd anti-codon position.
Source: Rfam by way of RNAcentral
GCCUGGGUGGCUCAGUUGGUUAAGCAGCUGACUUCAGCUCAGGUCAUGAUUUUGGGCUCCAUGGGUUCAAGCCCCAUGUCAGGCU